AGAGUUUGAUCAUGGCUCAGAUUGAACGCUGGCGGCAGGCCUAACACAUGCAAGUCGAACGGUAACAGGAAGCAGCUUGCUGCUUUGCUGACGAGUGGCGGACGGGUGAGUAAUGUCUGGGAAACUGCCUGAUGGAGGGGGAUAACUACUGGAAACGGUGGCUAAUACCGCAUAACGUCGCAAGACCAAAGAGGGGGACCUUCGGGCCUCUUGCCAUCAGAUGUGCCCAGAUGGGAUUAGCUUGUUGGUGAGGUAACGGCUCACCAAGGCGACGAUCCCUAGCUGGUCUGAGAGGAUGACCAGCCACACUGGAACUGAGACACGGCCCAGACUCCUACGGGAGGCAGCAGUGGGGAAUAUUGCACAAUGGGCGCAAGCCUGAUGCAGCCAUGCCGCGUGUAUGAAGAAGGCCUUCGGGUUGUAAAGUACUUUCAGCGGGGAGGAAGGUGUUGUGGUUAAUAACCGCAGCAAUUGACGUUACCCGCAGAAGAAGCACCGGCUAACUCCGUGCCAGCAGCCGCGGUAAUACGGAGGGUGCAAGCGUUAAUCGGAAUUACUGGGCGUAAAGCGCACGCAGGCGGUCUGUCAAGUCGGAUGUGAAAUCCCCGGGCUCAACCUGGGAACUGCAUUCGAAACUGGCAGGCUUGAGUCUUGUAGAGGGGGGUAGAAUUCCAGGUGUAGCGGUGAAAUGCGUAGAGAUCUGGAGGAAUACCGGUGGCGAAGGCGGCCCCCUGGACAAAGACUGACGCUCAGGUGCGAAAGCGUGGGGAGCAAACAGGAUUAGAUACCCUGGUAGUCCACGCCGUAAACGAUGUCUACUUGGAGGUUGUGCCCUUGAGGCGUGGCUUCCGGAGCUAACGCGUUAAGUAGACCGCCUGGGGAGUACGGCCGCAAGGUUAAAACUCAAAUGAAUUGACGGGGGCCCGCACAAGCGGUGGAGCAUGUGGUUUAAUUCGAUGCAACGCGAAGAACCUUACCUGGUCUUGACAUCCACAGAAGAAUCCAGAGAUGGAUUUGUGCCUUCGGGAACUGUGAGACAGGUGCUGCAUGGCUGUCGUCAGCUCGUGUUGUGAAAUGUUGGGUUAAGUCCCGCAACGAGCGCAACCCUUAUCCUUUGUUGCCAGCGGUUAGGCCGGGAACUCAAAGGAGACUGCCAGUGAUAAACUGGAGGAAGGUGGGGAUGACGUCAAGUCAUCAUGGCCCUUACGACCAGGGCUACACACGUGCUACAAUGGCGCAUACAAAGAGAAGCGACCUCGCGAGAGCAAGCGGACCUCAUAAAGUGCGUCGUAGUCCGGAUUGGAGUCUGCAACUCGACUCCAUGAAGUCGGAAUCGCUAGUAAUCGUGGAUCAGAAUGCCACGGUGAAUACGUUCCCGGGCCUUGUACACACCGCCCGUCACACCAUGGGAGUGGGUUGCAAAAGAAGUAGGUAGCUUAACCUUCGGGAGGGCGCUUACCACUUUGUGAUUCAUGACUGGGGUGAAGUCGUAACAAGGUAACCGUAGGGGAACCUGCGGUUGGAUCACCUCCUU
RNAcentral lists this ribosomal RNA (1534 nucleotides) under Salmonella enterica. Its description in RNAcentral is "SSU rRNA". It matches the Rfam family "Bacterial small subunit ribosomal RNA". The record is from RNAcentral. Lineage: Bacteria; Pseudomonadati; Pseudomonadota; Gammaproteobacteria; Enterobacterales; Enterobacteriaceae.